This 274-nucleotide ribosomal RNA is filed under the name uncultured bacterium. RNAcentral describes it as "partial 16S ribosomal RNA". It matches the Rfam family "Bacterial small subunit ribosomal RNA", at positions 523 to 796 of the family's 1533-position model. The record is from RNAcentral.
AGACGGAGGGCGCAAGCGUUAUCCGGAUUUAUUGGGCGUAAAGCGCGUGCAGGCGGUUCGGUAAGUUGGAUGUGAAAGCUCCCGGCUCAACUGGGAGAGGUCGUUCAAUACUGCCGGACUAGAGGACGGUAGAGGGAGGUGGAAUUCCCGGUGUAGUGGUGAAAUGCGUAGAUAUCGGGAGGAACACCAGUGGCGAAGGCGGCCUCCUGGGCCGUUCCUGACGCUAAGACGCGAAAGCUAGGGGAGCGAACGGGAUUAGAUACCCCUGUAGUCC